Molecule: ribosomal RNA, 460 nt
Filed under: uncultured bacterium
Lineage: Bacteria
Description: partial 16S ribosomal RNA
Rfam family: Bacterial small subunit ribosomal RNA
Source: RNAcentral
CCUACGGGUGACAGCAGUGAGGAAUAUUGGUCAAUGGGCGCGAGCCUGAACCAGCCAAGUCGCGUGAGGGAUGAAGGUUCUAUGGAUCGUAAACCUCUUUUAUAAGGGAAUAAAGUGUGGGACGUGUCCUAUUUUGUAUGUACCUUAUGAAUAAGGAUAGGCUAACUCCGUGCCAGCAGCCGCGGUAAUACGGAGGAUCCGAGCGUUAUCCGGAUUUAUUGGGUUUAAAGGGUGCGUAGGCGGCCUGUUAAGUCAGCGGUGAAAGUCUGUGGCUCAACCAUAGAAUUGCCGUUGAAACUGGGAGGCUUGAGUAUGUUUGAGGCAGGCGGAAUGCGUGGUGUAGCGGUGAAAUGCGUAGAUAUCACGCAGAACCCCGAUUGCGAAGGCAGCCUGCCAGGCCAUGACUGACGCUGAUGCGCGAAAGCGUGGGGAUCAAACAGGAUUAGAUACCCGGGUAGUC